This 301-nucleotide ribosomal RNA is filed under the name uncultured bacterium. Its description in RNAcentral is "partial 16S ribosomal RNA". It matches the Rfam family "Bacterial small subunit ribosomal RNA", at positions 509 to 807 of the family's 1533-position model. The record is from RNAcentral.
CAGUAGCCGCGGUAAUACGAAGGGUGCAAGCGUUACUCGGAAUUACUGGGCGUAAAGCGUGCGUAGGUGGUGGUUUAAGUCCGUUGUGAAAGCCCUGGGCUCAACCUGGGAAUUGCAGUGGAUACUGGGUCACUAGAGUGUGGUAGAGGAUAGUGGAAUUUCCGGUGUAGCAGUGAAAUGCGUAGAGAUCGGAAGGAACAUCUGUGGCGAAGGCGACUAUCUGGGCCAACACUGACACUGAGGCACGAAAGCGUGGGGAGCAAACAGGAUUAGAGACCCGAGUAGUCCCUGUCUCUUAUAC